Molecule: long non-coding RNA, 808 nt
Filed under: Cricetulus griseus (Chinese hamster)
Lineage: Eukaryota; Metazoa; Chordata; Mammalia; Rodentia; Cricetidae
Description: lncRNA (ENSCGRG00015033453.1)
Source: RNAcentral
AAACAUCUAUAUUUGGUGAUGGUUUAAAACUAAAAUUCUGAGCUACAGUCAUAUUACCUUCUAGGUGCCCGUGAGAUGCAUAUAUAUCACCUGCAUCAGAUCACAUAAACACUUGUUCAUAUGUGGAUCUUUGUUUAUUGUGAACCUCAGUGUGACAGUGGACACGAUUCAUGACACACAUUGAAGGAAAUCUCACCACCUAUCACUGACAACUGGAGACCCUGGGAAUUGAACACCAGGCCCAAGAUGGUGGUGGAAAUAAGCCCAAGUGUGAAGGCCUGAGGACCUAACAAGAUGAUUGUGUGAAUGCAAGCCUCAGUCUGAAAGCCCAACGACUAGGAAUGCUGUGUCCUAAGCUGGAUGAAGAAGUUGAAUUUACCAUUUUCCUUUAUGUUUUAUUCAAAAUUUCCCUCAACACAUAGGAUGAGUCUCCCACAUCCCUGAGGCAGAUCAUCUUCAUUCUGUCUACCAGCUCAAGAGCUAGUCCUUGAGCAGAGGGCAAAAAUAAGAACAAAAUAUACUGACAUAUAUAUAUGAAAAUGUCAUAAUGAAACACAUUACUUUCUGUAUAGCCUUUUUUAUUUAAAAAAAAAAAAAGCCAAUACUCAACCAGCAUUAGUCACCAGAAACACUGUCAGACAUACCCAAAAAUAAUGUACUUCAAACAAUCUUGGCACCUGUACCUCUGUGAAGUUGAUGUAUGAUCCUGACCAUUGUACACACAUGAAUACAUGGAAUCAAUAACAAAACUUAAGCACAUGUCUGUUCAGUUUUAUUAUUAAUAUCUGACUUUUAUGUAGAAUGGCUA